AAUCCAUAGGUUAAUGAGGCGAACCGGGGGAACUGAAACAUCUAAGUACCCCGAGGAAAAGAAAUCAACCGAGAUUCCCCCAGUAGCGGCGAGCGAACGGGGAGGAGCCCAGAGCCUGAAUCAGCAUGUGUGUUAGUGGAAGCGUCUGGAAAGGCGCGCGAUACAGGGUGACAGCCCCGUACACAAAAGCGCAUGUGCUGUGAGCUCGAUGAGUAGGGCGGGACACGUGGUAUCCUGUCUGAAUAUGGGGGGACCAUCCUCCAAGGCUAAAUACUCCUGACUGACCGAUAGUGAACCAGUACCGUGAGGGAAAGGCGAAAAGAACCCCGGCGAGGGGAGUGAAAAAGAACCUGAAACCGUGUACGUACAAGCAGUGGGAGCACCCUUUUGGGUGUGACUGCGUACCUUUUGUAUAAUGGGUCAGCGACUUAUAUUCUGUAGCAAGGUUAACCGCAUAGGGGAGCCGGAGGGAAACCGAGUCUUAAUUGGGCGUUAAGUUGCAGGGUAUAGACCCGAAACCCGGUGAUCUAGCCAUGGGCAGGUUGAAGGUUGGGUAACACUAACUGGAGGACCGAACCGACUAAUGUUGAAAAAUUAGCGGAUGACCUGUGGCUGGGGGUGAAAGGCCAAUCAAACCGGGAGAUAGCUGGUUCUCCCCGAAAGCUAUUUAGGUAGCGCCUCGUGAAUUCAUCUCCGGGGGUAGAGCACUGUUUCGGCUAGGGGGCCAUCCCGGCUUACCAACCCGAUGCAAACUGCGAAUACCGGAGAAUGUUAUCACGGGAGACACACGGCGGGUGCUAACGUCCGUCGUGAAGAGGGAAACAACCCAGACCGCCAGCUAAGGUCCCAAAGUCAUGGUUAAGUGGGAAACGAUGUGGGAAGGCCCAGACAGCCAGGAUGUUGGCUUAGAAGCAGCCAUCAUUUAAAGAAAGCGUAAUAGCUCACUGGUCGAGUCGGCCUGCGCGGAAGAUGUAACGGGGCUAAACCAUGCACCGAAGCUGCGGCAGCGACGCUUAUGCGUUGUUGGGUAGGGGAGCGUUCUGUAAGCCUGCGAAGGUGGCCUGUGAGGGUUGCUGGAGGUAUCAGAAGUGCGAAUGCUGACAUAAGUAACGAUAAAGCGGGUGAAAAGCCCGCUCGCCGGAAGACCAAGGGUUCCUGUCCAACGUUAAUCGGGGCAGGGUGAGUCGACCCCUAAGGCGAGGCCGAAAGGCGUAGUCGAUGGGAAACGGGUUAAUAUUCCCGUACUUGGUGUUACUGCGAAGGGGGGACGGAGAAGGCUAUGUUGGCCGGGCGACGGUUGUCCCGGUUUAAGCGUGUAGGUGUGUGUUCCAGGUAAAUCCGGUUCACUUUAACACUGAGGCGUGACGACGAGGCACUACGGUGCUGAAGCAACAAAUGCCCUGCUUCCAGGAAAAGCCUCUAAGCAUCAGGUAACAUCAAAUCGUACCCCAAACCGACACAGGUGGUCAGGUAGAGAAUACCAAGGCGCUUGAGAGAACUCGGGUGAAGGAACUAGGCAAAAUGGUGCCGUAACUUCGGGAGAAGGCACGCUGACACGUAGGUGAAGUGAUUUACUCAUGGAGCUGAAGUCAGUCGAAGAUACCAGCUGGCUGCAACUGUUUAUUAAAAACACAGCACUGUGCAAACACGAAAGUGGACGUAUACGGUGUGACGCCUGCCCGGUGCCGGAAGGUUAAUUGAUGGGGUCAGCGCAAGCGAAGCUCCUGAUCGAAGCCCCGGUAAACGGCGGCCGUAACUAUAACGGUCCUAAGGUAGCGAAAUUCCUUGUCGGGUAAGUUCCGACCUGCACGAAUGGCGUAAUGAUGGCCAGGCUGUCUCCACCCGAGACUCAGUGAAAUUGAACUCGCUGUGAAGAUGCAGUGUACCCGCGGCAAGACGGAAAGACCCCGUGAACCUUUACUAUAGCUUGACACUGAACAUUGAGCCUUGAUGUGUAGGAUAGGUGGGAGGCUUUGAAGCGUGGACGCCAGUCUGCGUGGAGCCGACCUUGAAAUACCACCCUUUAAUGUUUGAUGUUCUAACGUGGACCCGUUACCCGGGUUGCGGACAGUGUCUGGUGGGUAGUUUGACUGGGGCGGUCUCCUCCUAAAGAGUAACGGAGGAGCACGAAGGUUGGCUAAUCCUGGUCGGACAUCAGGAGGUUAGUGCAAUGGCAUAAGCCAGCUUGACUGCGAGCGUGACGGCGCGAGCAGGUGCGAAAGCAGGUCAUAGUGAUCCGGUGGUUCUGAAUGGAAGGGCCAUCGCUCAACGGAUAAAAGGUACUCCGGGGAUAACAGGCUGAUACCGCCCAAGAGUUCAUAUCGACGGCGGUGUUUGGCACCUCGAUGUCGGCUCAUCACAUCCUGGGGCUGAAGUAGGUCCCAAGGGUAUGGCUGUUCGCCAUUUAAAGUGGUACGCGAGCUGGGUUUAGAACGUCGUGAGACAGUUCGGUCCCUAUCUGCCGUGGGCGCUGGAGAACUGAGGGGGGCUGCUCCUAGUACGAGAGGACCGGAGUGGACGCAUCACUGGUGUUCGGGUUGUCAUGCCAAUGGCACUGCCCGGUAGCUAAAUGCGGAAGAGAUAAGUGCUGAAAGCAUCUAAGCACGAAACUUGCCCCGA
Molecule: ribosomal RNA, 2619 nt
Filed under: Salmonella enterica subsp. enterica serovar Braenderup
Lineage: Bacteria; Pseudomonadati; Pseudomonadota; Gammaproteobacteria; Enterobacterales; Enterobacteriaceae
Description: partial 23S ribosomal RNA
Rfam family: Bacterial large subunit ribosomal RNA
Source: RNAcentral